UACGAAGGGGGCUAGCGUUGUUCGGAUUCAUUGGGCGUAAAGGGUGCGUAGGCGGCGCGGUAAGUCGGGUGUGAAAUCUCGGAGCUUAACUCCGAAACUGCAUUCGAUACUGCCGUGCUUGAGGACUGGAGAGGAGACUGGAAUUUACGGUGUAGCGGUGAAAUGCGUAGAUAUCGUAAGGAAGACCAGUGGCGAAGGCGGGUCUCUGGACAGUUCCUGACGCUGAGACGCGAAAGCGUGGGGAGCAAACAGG
Molecule: ribosomal RNA, 253 nt
Filed under: uncultured bacterium
Lineage: Bacteria
Description: partial 16S ribosomal RNA
Rfam family: Bacterial small subunit ribosomal RNA
Source: RNAcentral